RNAcentral lists this ribosomal RNA (487 nucleotides) under Pseudomonas sp. AyD-002. RNAcentral describes it as "bacterial SSU rRNA". It matches the Rfam family "Bacterial small subunit ribosomal RNA", at positions 30 to 525 of the family's 1533-position model. The record is from RNAcentral. Lineage: Bacteria; Pseudomonadati; Pseudomonadota; Gammaproteobacteria; Pseudomonadales; Pseudomonadaceae.
UGAACGCUGGCGGCAGGCUCUAACACAUGCAAGUCGAGCGGAUGAGAGGAGCUUGCUCCUUGAUUUAGCGGCGGACGGGUGAGUAAUGCCUAGGAAUCUGCCUGGUAGUUGGGGGAUAACUGUUCCGAAAGGAACGCUAAUACCGCAUACGUCCUACGGGAGAAAGCAGGGGACCUUCGGGCCUUGCGCUAUCAGAUGAGCCUAGGUCGGAUUAGCUAGUUGGUGAGGUAAUGGCUCACCAAGGCCGACGAUCCGUAACUGGUCUGAGAGGAUGAUCAGUCACACUGGAACUGAGACACGGUCCAGACUCCUACGGGAGGCAGCAGUGGGGAAUAUUGCGCACAAUGGGCGAAAGCCUGAUCCACCCAUGCCGCGUGUGUGAAGAAGGUCUUCCGAUUGUAAAGCACUUUAAGUUGCGGAGGGAAAGGGCAUUAACCUAAUACGUUAGUGUUUUCGACCGUUACCCGCACAGAACUAAGCCACCCGG